CUUGUCUUUAGAGGAACUAAAAGUCGUAACAAGGUAACCGUAGGUGAACCUGCGGUUGGAUCAUUAAUAAUGAUAGCUCUAUGGUUUGUAGUGGUCUUCGUGAUCCUCGCUAUAGAGUCAACUACACCUGUGCACUGUAAUAGUAUUUGGGUCUGAGCUUGCUUAGGCCCAGUGGUAAGCAUCCUAUGGAUGCCUAUAAACAACUUUUUUUUGACUGACUUUUGUUUCUAAGGAAUCAAAUACAACUUUUAACAACGGAUCUCUUGGCUCAC
Molecule: unclassified non-coding RNA, 272 nt
Filed under: fungal sp.
Lineage: Eukaryota; Fungi
Description: partial internal transcribed spacer region
Rfam family: Eukaryotic small subunit ribosomal RNA (bases 1-66)
Source: RNAcentral